RNAcentral lists this ribosomal RNA (751 nucleotides) under uncultured bacterium. Its description in RNAcentral is "bacterial SSU rRNA". It matches the Rfam family "Bacterial small subunit ribosomal RNA", at positions 164 to 916 of the family's 1533-position model. RNAcentral also lists the same sequence under 1 other name. The record is from RNAcentral.
UAAUACCCAAUGAUAUCUCUAGAAGACAUCUGAAAGGGAUUAAAGAUUUAUCGGUGAUGGAUGGGGAUGCGUCUGAUUAGCUUGUUGGCGGGGUAACGGCCCACCAAGGCUACGAUCAGUAGGGGUUCUGAGAGGAAGGUCCCCCACAUUGGAACUGAGACACGGUCCAAACUCCUACGGGAGGCAGCAGUGAGGAAUAUUGGUCAAUGGACGAGAGUCUGAACCAGCCAAGUAGCGUGCAGGAUGACGGCCCUAUGGGUUGUAAACUGCUUUUAUAAGGGAAUAAAGUGAGCCUCGUGAGGCUUUUUGCAUGUACCUUAUGAAUAAGGACCGGCUAAUUCCGUGCCAGCAGCCGCGGUAAUACGGAAGGUCCGGGCGUUAUCCGGAUUUAUUGGGUUUAAAGGGAGCGUAGGCCGGAGAUUAAGCGUGUUGUGAAAUGUAGAUGCUCAACAUCUGCACUGCAGCGCGAACUGGUUUCCUUGAGUACGCACAAAGUGGGCGGAAUUCGUGGUGUAGCGGUGAAAUGCUUAGAUAUCACGAAGAACUCCGAUUGCGAAGGCAGCUCACUGGAGCGCAACUGACGCUGAAGCUCGAAAGUGCGGGUAUCGAACAGGAUUAGAUACCCUGGUAGUCCGCACGGUAAACGAUGGAUGCCCGCUGUUGGUCUGAAUAGGUCAGCGGCCAAGCGAAAGCAUUAAGCAUCCCACCUGGGGAGUACGCCGGCAACGGUACAACUAAAGGGAAUUGACGG